RNAcentral lists this ribosomal RNA (497 nucleotides) under uncultured bacterium. Its description in RNAcentral is "partial 16S ribosomal RNA". It matches the Rfam family "Bacterial small subunit ribosomal RNA", at positions 28 to 507 of the family's 1533-position model. The record is from RNAcentral.
GACGAACGCUGGCGGCGUGCCUAAUACAUGCAAGUAGAACGCUGAAGAGAGGAGCUUGCUCUUCUUGGAUGAGUUGCGAACGGGUGAGUAACGCGUAGGUAACCUGCCUUGUAGCGGGGGAUAACUAUUGGAAACGAUAGCUAAUACCGCAUAACAAUGGAUGACACAUGUCAUUUAUUUGAAAGGGGCAAUUGCUCCACUACAAGAUGGACCUGCGUUGUAUUAGCUAGUAGGUGAGGUAAUGGCUCACCUAGGCGACGAUACAUAGCCGACCUGAGAGGGUGAUCGGCCACACUGGGACUGGGAAACGGCCCAGACUCCUACGGGAGGCAGCAGUAGGGAAUCUUCGGCAAUGGGGGCAACCCUGACCGAGCAACGCCGCGUGAGUGAAGAAGGUUUUCGGAUCGUAAAGCUCUGUUGUAAGUCAAGAACGGGUGUGAGAGUGGAAAGUUCACACUGUGACGGUAGCUUACCAGAAAGGGACGGCUAACUACGUG